AUUGAACGCUGGCGGAAUGCUUUACACAUGCAAGUCGAACGGCAGCACGGGGGCAACCCUGGUGGCGAGUGGCGAGCGGGUGAGUAAUACAUCGGAACGUGCCCGGUCGUGGGGGAUAACGUAGCGAAAGUUACGCUAAUACCGCAUACGAUCUGAGGAUGAAAGCGGGGGACCUUCGGGCCUCGCGCGAUCGGAGCGGCCGAUGUCAGAUUAGGUAGUUGGUGGGGUAAAGGCCUACCAAGCCGACGAUCUGUAGCUGGUCUGAGAGGACGACCAGCCACACUGGGACUGAGACACGGCCCAGACUCCUACGGGAGGCAGCAGUGGGGAAUUUUGGACAAUGGGCGCAAGCCUGAUCCAGCCAUUCCGCGUGCAGGACGAAGGCCUUCGGGUUGUAAACUGCUUUUGUAUGGAACGAAAAGGCUCUGGCUAAUACCUGGGGCUCAUGACGGUACCGUAAGAAUAAGCACCGGCUAACUACGUG
RNAcentral lists this ribosomal RNA (484 nucleotides) under uncultured bacterium. RNAcentral describes it as "partial 16S ribosomal RNA". It matches the Rfam family "Bacterial small subunit ribosomal RNA", at positions 30 to 507 of the family's 1533-position model. The record is from RNAcentral.